AGACCCAGAGAGAGAGGCAGGGUCUGAUCUGCAGCCUCAGUGGCAGCUGUUGUUCAGUACUGGCCUCUCUCUUUCUCUCCC
Non-coding RNA from Myotis brandtii (Brandt's bat), 81 nucleotides. The record is from Rfam. Lineage: Eukaryota; Metazoa; Chordata; Mammalia; Chiroptera; Vespertilionidae.